This 749-nucleotide ribosomal RNA is filed under the name uncultured bacterium. Its description in RNAcentral is "bacterial SSU rRNA". It matches the Rfam family "Bacterial small subunit ribosomal RNA", at positions 60 to 809 of the family's 1533-position model. The record is from RNAcentral.
AGUCGACGGUGACGAGGGGCUUGCUCCUCUGAUCAGUGGCGAACGGGUGAGUACACGUGAGUAACCUGCCCUUCACUCUGGGAUAACGCUGGGAAACCGGUGCUAAUACUGGAUAUGACCUGCUCGGGCAUCCGAUGUGGGUGGAAAGAUUUAUUGGUGGAGGAUGGACUCGCGGCCUAUCAGCUUGUUGGUGAGGUAAUGGCUCACCAAGGCGACGACGGGUAGCCGGCCUGAGAGGGCGAUCGGCCACACUGGGACUGAGACACGGCCCAGACUCCUACGGGAGGCAGCAGUGGGGAAUAUUGCACAAUGGGCGAAAGCCUGAUGCAGCGACGCCGCGUGAGGGAUGAAGGCCUUCGGGUUGUAAACCUCUUUCAGCAGGGAAGAAGCGGCCGGGUUUUCUUGGUUGUGACGGUACCUGCAGAAGAAGCACCGGCUAACUACGUGCCAGCAGCCGCGGUAAUACGUAGGGUGCAAGCGUUGUCCGGAAUUAUUGGGCGUAAAGAGCUUGUAGGCGGUUUGUCGCGUCUGCUGUGAAAUUUCGGGGCUCAACCCCGAACUUGCAGUGGGUACGGGCAGACUAGAGUGCGGUAGGGGAGACUGGAAUUCCUGGUGUAGCGGUGAAAUGCGCAGAUAUCAGGAGGAACACCGAUGGCGAAGGCAGGUCUCUGGGCCACUACUGACGCUGAGAAGCGAAAGCAUGGGGAGCGAACAGGAUUAGAUACCCUGGUAGAAUCACUAGUGAAUUC